Molecule: non-coding RNA, 146 nt
Organism: Daucus carota subsp. sativus
Lineage: Eukaryota; Viridiplantae; Streptophyta; Magnoliopsida; Apiales; Apiaceae
Source: Rfam
AAGGUGAGAGCCAGUGAGGUCGGCCAAGAAUGACUUCCUAGAAACCAUUUAUAAGAAUUGUUACAUUCAUUUUUUUUAUGAAUGUAACUAUGAUGGUAUUUAGGCAAGUCAUCCUUGGCUUACCAAACAUGAAUGGCUCUGUAUCU